GAGAAGGCUUUGCACGGCGAAAAGGAAUGGUACUUUUUCUCACCAAGAGAUAGAAAAUAUCCGAACGGUUCACGGCCGAACAGAGCGGCCGGAACCGGUUACUGGAAGGCAACCGGAGCUGAUAAGCCAGUGGGAAAGCCCAAGACUUUAGGGAUAAAAAAGGCGUUAGUGUUCUAUGCAGGAAAAGCACCUAGAGGAAUCAAAACCAAUUGGAUAAUGCACGAAUAUCGACUCGCUAAUGUGGACCGGUCUGCUGGCAAGAGCAAUAACUUGAGGGUAAGCACUUUAGGACUAGAAUUUAAACUUUAUAAUUUCGAAUCUAAAAUUUUAUUAUUAUAAUCAAAAUUUUCUUAUUUGUACUCAUUUAGCGAACUUUUUGCAGCUUGAUGAUUGGGUAUUGUGUCGAAUAUACAACAAGAAGGGCACACUAGAGAAGUAUUACAAUGUGGAUAACAAGGAGCAUUUGGGCUUCGAAGAAGUUGAGGAAGAAGAGGAAAAACCAAAAAUUUUACCAUUUUCACAAAGUAAUGAGUUGAUAGCACGACUAGCACCAACGCCGAUGCCAUCGCGGCCACAAUCGAUGCCGGGGAGUGACUACUUUCACUUCGAAACGUCUGAGUCGAUGACUCGAAUGCAUACAACAAACUCGAGCUCUGAGUGUUUUGUCGUCGUGUGACAAGGAGGUCCAAAGUGCUCCCAAAUGGGACGAUCUCGACAAGGCCCUUGAUUUCCAGCUAAAUUAUUUGGACAACUUCCAAUAUGACCCUUUCGAGGCCCAAAUGCAGCUGCAAAAUUGCAACACUGAUCAGUUCAAUUCUUUCCAAGACAUGUUCGUAUACAUGCAGAAACCUUAUUAUUCCGGUGCGAAUCAGAAUUAGUCAAAGCUCCGAAUUUCAAAUUUCUCCCUUACUAAUUGUAAUCAUUGGAUUUAACUGAAUGUGAUCCAAGGCCCUCCUCUUAGUUCUUUCAACUUUAUUCUUUGGGGUAGG
This 989-nucleotide long non-coding RNA is filed under the name Nicotiana tabacum (common tobacco). RNAcentral's name for it is "long non-coding RNA (NTAB_LNC000206)". The record is from RNAcentral. Lineage: Eukaryota; Viridiplantae; Streptophyta; Magnoliopsida; Solanales; Solanaceae.